Molecule: ribosomal RNA, 358 nt
Filed under: uncultured soil bacterium
Lineage: Bacteria
Description: bacterial SSU rRNA
Rfam family: Bacterial small subunit ribosomal RNA
Source: RNAcentral
AGAUUGAACGCUGGCGGCAGGCCUAACACAUGCAAGUCGAGCGGUAGAGAGGUGCUUGCACCUCUUGAGAGCGGCGGACGGGUGAGUAAUGCCUAGGAAUCUGCCUAGUGGGUGGGGGAUAACGUUCGGAAACGGACGCUAAUACCGCAUACGUCCUACGGGAGAAAGCGGGGGACCUUCGGGCCUCGCGCCAUUAGAUGAGCCUAGGUCGAUUAGCUAGUUGGUGAGGUAAUGGCUCACCAAGGCCGACGAUCCGUAACUGAUCGUGAGAGGUAUGAUCACGCCAACACGUGGGACUGAGACACCGGCCCAGGACCUCCGUACGGGAGCAGCGAGGUGGGAAUUGUGACAGUGGGAC